RNAcentral lists this long non-coding RNA (390 nucleotides) under Arachis ipaensis. Its description in RNAcentral is "long non-coding RNA (AIPA_LNC000710)". The record is from RNAcentral. Lineage: Eukaryota; Viridiplantae; Streptophyta; Magnoliopsida; Fabales; Fabaceae.
AAACAGAUACAUUUAAUUUUAAAUAACCUUAAUAAAGAAAAAUAAUUUAUUUUCCUUUUAAAUGACAAUAAUACUAAAUUGAGAAACAUAUUGGAGCAAAUGAGUAAAUAGUAUUCGAUUUGCAAAAUAGUGAUUGAGGAAGCAUGUGAGUCUGGUACACCCAUGCUUUGAUUGGGGUUAGUGAAGCACAUGGUAAGGCUUAUCCCUGUAAACUUGUGUUCCCUUCCCCGUUUCCAAAUACGCUUUGACGAGCCUUGUCUCCAUCCAUAUAUAGGGCCCUCGCCAAUUUAUUCAACUCAAUUCAUGAUUAAUAUAUUCUUUAAUUUGCUAAUUAAUUCCCCAAUGGAUGCUGCAAAGCUUCUGCCAAGUCAAAGAAACGAUUUGCAAUUC